Molecule: ribosomal RNA, 446 nt
Filed under: uncultured bacterium
Lineage: Bacteria
Description: partial 16S ribosomal RNA
Rfam family: Bacterial small subunit ribosomal RNA
Source: RNAcentral
CCUACGGGUGGCAGCAGUCGAGAAUCAUUCACAAUGGGGGAAACCCUGAUGGUGCGACGCCGCGUGGGGGAAUGAAGGUCUUCGGAUUGUAAACCCCUGUCAUGUGGGAGCAAAUUAAAAAGAUAGUACCACAAGAGGAAGAGACGGCUAACUCUGUGCCAGCAGCCGCGGUAAUACAGAGGUCUCAAGCCUUGUUCCGAAUCACUGGGCGUAAAGCGUGCGUAGGCUGUUUCGUAAGUCGUGUGUGAAAGGCGCGGGCUCAACCCGCGGACGGCACAUGAUACUGGGAGACGAGAGUAAGGGAGGGGGAACCGGAAUUCUCGGUGUAGCAGUGAAAUGCGUAGAUAUCGAGAGGAACACUCGUGGCGAAGGCGGGUUCCUGGACAUUAACUGACGCUGAGGCACGAAGGCCAGGGGAGCGAAAGGGAUUAGAUACCCUGGUAGUC